GGAAGGAUGGCAGAGAGGACGAUUGCGCGCGGUUGCUAACCGUGAAGCCGGAAACGGCUCAAGGGUUCGAAUCCCUUUCUUUCCA
RNAcentral lists this transfer RNA (85 nucleotides) under Escherichia phage vB_EcoS_NBD2. RNAcentral's name for it is "Enterobacteria phage vB_EcoS_NBD2 tRNA". It matches the Rfam family "tRNA". From Rfam's summary of the family: Transfer RNA (tRNA) molecules are approximately 80 nucleotides in length. The record is from Rfam by way of RNAcentral. Lineage: Duplodnaviria; Heunggongvirae; Uroviricota; Caudoviricetes; Drexlerviridae.